CGCAAGGUUAAAACUCAAAUGAAUUGACGGGGGCCCGCACAAGCGGUGGAGCAUGUGGUUUAAUUCGAUGCAACGCGAAGAACCUUACCUACUCUUGACAUCCAGAGAAUUCGCUAGAGAUAGCUUAGUGCCUUCGGGAGCUCUGAGACAGGUGCUGCAUGGCUGUCGUCAGCUCGUGUUGUGAAAUGUUGGGUUAAGUCCCGCAACGAGCGCAACCCUUAUCCUUAUUUGCCAGCACGUAAUGGUGGGAACUUUAGGGAGACUGCCGGUGAUAAACCGGAGGAAGGUGGGGACGACGUCAAGUCAUCAUGGCCCUUACGAGUAGGGCUACACACGUGCUACAAUGGUCGGUACAGAGGGUUGCGAAGCCGCGAGGUGAAGCUAAUCCCAGAAAGCCGGUCGUAGUCCGGAUCGGAGUCUGCAACUCGACUCCGUGAAGUCGGAAUCGCUAGUAAUCGUGGAUCAGAAUGCCACGGUGAAUACGUUCCCGGGCCUUGUACACACCGCCCGUCACACCAUGGGAGUGGGCUGCACCAGAAGUAGAUAGCUUAACCUUUCGGGGAGGGCGUUUACCACGGUGUGGUUCAUGACUGGGGUGAAGUCGUAACAAGGUAGCCCUAGGGGAACCUGGGGCUG
RNAcentral lists this ribosomal RNA (636 nucleotides) under uncultured bacterium. Its description in RNAcentral is "bacterial SSU rRNA". It matches the Rfam family "Bacterial small subunit ribosomal RNA", at positions 887 to 1520 of the family's 1533-position model. The record is from RNAcentral.